GAAGAGGCCUGCCGAUUCAAUGACACGUGGCUUCAGUUCGUGAAUUCCCAGGGAACCAAGCUACAGGGAACCAGCUGUAACCCAAUAAACUAUGGGAAGUUAACUGCUACCUGUGCUAGGCUACACCAAAAAACAGUAUGUGAGCAGACUGAAAUCUAUUACACAGCAGUGCUAACUAGAAGGAGGCUGAGCAAUCUAGCCUACAAUCACCGUUAUAUGCAAUAUAGCUGAUAAACAGAUAACUGAAAGGGAGCUGACAGAUACUAACUUUUCUCAAAAAGUGAUCUAGCUACCCUGAGUAUGCAAUCCAACAGGUGAUGCACUCAGUAACACUGGGGAAAGGAUUCACCAGCACUUACAUAGAGGCCGCUUUUAAGAAGGCCUACUAUCAUAAGCGGGUGCCAACCUGUGGCAGCAUAUCAAGCUCACAUACCAAAUGUAGGGCAAACGUCUAGAACUCAAAGGAAACUUUGAAAUACAUGCCAUUUGACAGAGAGAAAAAAUAAAAUCAUUGCUACAGAUUCUCAAAUCUGUUCCAAGCCUAGAGGACAGAGCUAAAAUGCUGGCAUAGUCAACUCAAACUUGAAGAAAUCAAGUGGCUCGGAAGAAAAUAUUUUUUCCUCUCAGCAUGAAUGUUCUAGAGAGUGGGGCCUAGCAACAUUAAUAGCAUAAACUUAUCUACGCAAAGAUAAGGGCCUACCACCUGAGAAACAGCAUCAGGUCUCUAACCAAGCAGUCUAAAAACCUAGCUGUUACACUCAUCGUUGCACCUACAUAAGCAAUGGGAUAAUCUGGG
Molecule: long non-coding RNA, 796 nt
Organism: Megalobrama amblycephala (Wuchang bream)
Lineage: Eukaryota; Metazoa; Chordata; Actinopteri; Cypriniformes; Xenocyprididae
Exons: 2
Source: RefSeq, a predicted model, not a curated record